RNAcentral lists this ribosomal RNA (594 nucleotides) under Scopalinidae sp. 1 JV-2020. RNAcentral's name for it is "partial large subunit ribosomal RNA". It matches the Rfam family "Eukaryotic large subunit ribosomal RNA", at positions 76 to 519 of the family's 3401-position model. The record is from RNAcentral. Lineage: Eukaryota; Metazoa; Porifera; Demospongiae; Scopalinida; Scopalinidae.
UCCCCCAGUAACGGCGAGCGAAGCGGGAACAGCUCGAGCAUGAAAUCUCCGGCAGUCAUGCCGGCGAAUUGUGGCCGAGAGUGGCAGCUUGGUUCUGGUUCCGAUGCCGAAGUUUGCCUGGAAAGGCACGUCAGAGAGGGCGAGAACCCCGUGCGUGGCAGAGGACACACAGGACCGCCAACUGCACACGGAGAGUCGGGUUGUUUGGGAAUGCAGCCCAAAGUUGGUGGUAAACUCCAUCUAAAGCUAAAUACCGGCACGAGACCGAUAGCAAACAAGUACCGUGAGGGAAAGGUGAAAAGUACUUUGAAAAGAGAGUCAAAGAGAACGCGAAACCGUUAGGAGGGAAGCGAAUGCAGCCAGUACGAGUCCCGUCAGGUUCAGGGGCAGCGGAAGCGUCGCUCCCGGGUUGGCCUAGAUGGCGCCAGGGGGUAGUCGCGCGGCCGCGCAUCUGCACUCCUGCGGGGCUCUUGCCAACGGCAGUGGUGGGUGCCCACGAGCGGUCGGGGAGGUAACCUACCCCUCCUCGGAGGUGGGAGGAACUUAUAACCCCCUCCCGCGACGGGCAUCGGCGACUGAGGAGACGAUCACUUC